RNAcentral lists this ribosomal RNA (1204 nucleotides) under Spiralothelphusa parvula. RNAcentral describes it as "partial 16S ribosomal RNA". Lineage: Eukaryota; Metazoa; Arthropoda; Malacostraca; Decapoda; Parathelphusidae. The record is from RNAcentral.
AGUUUAAAUCUUGUUAAUAAAUAUUUAGUUUAAAUAUUUUUAAAUGAAAAAUAAUUUUUAAUUAUAGUAAAGUAAUUUUUAAUGAAAAAAAACUAUAACUAUAAAGUAUAAGUACUGUAAGGGAAAGAUAUAUAGGAUGCAAAAAGAAGUAUAAAUAAAAUUUAGUACCUUGUGUAUUAGGGAUAAUUUAUAUAGCUAAAAUAAUAUUUAGAUCUCGAAAUAAAAAUAGUUAAUUUUAUAAUAGAGUUUUUAUGGGAUAUAAAUUUUGAAUAGAGAAUUAAAGAUGAUAUGUUAAACGAGUUUUAUAAUAUCUAGUUUUUUGAAAGAAAAAUUUAAUUUGGUUUUUAUAUCUUUAAUAAUAUAAGGAGAUAAAAUAGAAAGGGCAAGCUUUUUAUUGUAGGAAGUGGAAUAGUAGAAUAUAAAUUAUAUUAUAAUCUAAGCUUAAAAAUAGCUAUGUUUAUAAAGUGUUUUAAUUAAUUUCUUAUUUUUAAAAAUAUAUGUGUAUACUUUUCUUUAAUAUCAAAAAUUUAUUUCGAAUAAGAUAUAAUAAGAUAAAAUGAUUUUAUUAGUAUAGGAAUUAAUUGUAAUAACAGAAGAAUAAAAUAUUUUAAAAAAUUAUUAAUAUAAAACAAUAAAUUAAAGGAAUUCAGCAAAAUUUUUCUUGCCUGUUUAUCAAAAACAUGUCUAUUUGAAGAUAUAAAAAGUCUGACCUGCCCACUGAUUGAAAAUAUAAAAAUUUAAGGGCCGCGGUAUUAUGACCGUGCAAAGGUAGCAUAAUCAUUAGGUUUUUAAAUGAGAUCUUGUAUGAAUGGUUUGACAAAGGAAAAACUGUCUUUAAAUUAAUAUUUUGAAUUUAACUUUUAAGUGAGAAGGCUUAAAUAUUUUAGAGGGACGAUAAGACCCUAUAAAGCUUUAUAUUAUAAUUGUAUUUAAUUAAAUUUAUAUAUAAAAAUUUUAUGUAAUUAUUUAUUUUGUUGGGGAGACAUUAGCAAAAAUUAUAUUAACUGCUUAAGAAACAAACAUAUAUCAAUGAAAAAUUGUAGAUCCUAGAUAUAGAUUUAAAGAUUAAGUUACUUUAGGGAUAACAGUGUAAUUUUUUUUGAGAGUUCUUAUCGAAAAAAAAGUUUGCAACCUCGAUGUUGAAUUAAAUUACCUAUAUAAUGCAGUUAUUAUAUAAGAUGGUCUGUUCGACCUUUAAUUUUUU